UGGCAUUUGGCGGUAACCCCUCUUCCUGACCUCCCUUCUCGUUUUUUCAUCGCCAUUCACCCGCGUCGUUGCUUCUCACCCUGCAUCCUCGUCGACGCGUCGCGCAGAACCGUUCGCGUAGCGCGCCUCACUCCUCCGUGCAUCCUUCCCUUCGGUUUAUCGGUGCGCACCAGCCCAGCCCAGCGCAGCCCCGCCCCGCCUUCGGACGCGCGCAUCUAUCUGCGGGACGGGCCGCCGUGAGCUGAGCAGACCACCAUGCACAGUGCUGUCACUUGCAUCAAGAGCCCGGGCGCGGCUCUCUUCACCGACACUGCCACCUGCCGCACCAUCACGUUGAGCCGGCCCGAUGCGUUGAACGCCAUGUCGUUGCCGAUGGUGCAGGACCUGCAUCGCCUGUACAUCACAGAGCCGCACCCGAACGAGGAUGCCGUGUACGUUGUGCGCGGUGACGGGCGGCGCAGCUUCUGUGCUGGUGGCGACCUGAAGGCCCUCACAGGACCCGAGAAAGACACGCACAACCCGCUGUUCUACCGCCUGGAGUACGAGGUGGACUCGCACAUUGCGGUGAUGCGGCGCACGCAGGUGACGAUGUGGGCGGGGCACGUGCUGGGGAGCGGCGUGGGCGUGUCGGUGCACAGCCGUUACCGCGUUGCGUGCGAGACGACGCGGUUCGCGAUGCCGGAGACGCAGAUCGGCGGCGCGAACGACGUUGCGACGAGCUGGGUGUUCUCGUCGCUGCCGAUAUGCGGGCUUGGCAUGUACCUUGCGAUCACGGGCAACACGCUGCAAGGCGCGGACGUGUUCCACGCGGGCCUGGCGACGCACUACAUCCCUGUGGAGAAGUUCGGCGCUGUGGAGGCUGCGCUGGCGGCGCUGCCGUCGUCGGAGGGCGUCGAGGAGUGCCUCCGAGGGUUCAGCGAGGACGUUGCUGUGCCGCCGUUCACGCUGGCGGAGAACGCGCCUGUGCUGGCGAAGGCGUUCGGCGCGAUCACUCCGUCGACGCACCUGCGCGACAUCAUGGAUGUGCUGCGCGCGGACGGCAGCGCGUUCGCUGCGAGCACGCUGAAGGUGAUGGAGCGCAACUCGCCGCUGGGCAUGACGCUUGCGCUGGAGAACAUGAAGCGGCAGCACACACCUGGGUGCAACACCGUGAUGGAGAGCUUCCGUGGCGACUACACGGCGAUUCAGACUUCCAUUUGUGUGGAUGAGCUGGCGAAGGGCGUGGAGGCGCUGUUUGUCACGAAGGAGAAGCGCCCGCAGUGGACGGUGGGGUCCGUGGACGAAGUCGAUGUGGAGCUCGUGAAGCAGCAGUUUGUUAUGACGGAGAGCACGGUGCCCUUGUAGGAAAGGCUCGUCUCACAUAUUCGCGGCUCUGUAGGCGUCGACCUUUCUUUGCCACGAGUGCUGUGCCGGCGCCUUGAUGCCGCAUUGUGCGUGUACACGUGUGGAGUGUGACUGUGGGCGUGUUGGCACUGCAGAAGGUAAAGGACGGUCUUGCUUACGGGGGACCUGCGGCCGGCUCGGCGUGUGCGUUUCCGUUUCAGCUUGCGGGCGCGAGGCCGCGGUUGUGGGGUGUUCACACGCUACCUCUUCUGUGCUUUUUUUUUUCGUAUUCGGUGCAUAUGGGCUAAGCCACCUCCGCACAGUCUACAGCUUAGUGUGUGUAUGCGCUUGGUUUUGUUUUCACGUCUUCGAGUUUAUUGGAUCGGUUGUGGCUGGGCUCUUGUUUCCGGAGAGGAUGCCCUCGCCGAGGGUUAAGGGCACCGCUUCCCACAGAGGGAUGAUGUGCGUCUCAUUUUUGUUCACCGGCUUCCGCUUGGCCUCUUCUGCGCUGUCGCUCACUUCCGCACCCUCUCCCCCAUCUCUCCUGUCCUCCUGCACCCUCCAGUUAUGCUUCGCGUGCGCGCACUGCGGUAGAGUGUGAAGGGUACGCGCAUGCGUGCGAGCCGAAGAGCUGGAGGGAAGGGGGAGCAAGUGAGAAGGAUGGCAGAUGAAGUGGGUAGGGCGCGAGGCGAGGAGUGCUAAGCGUCCAGGCGUCCUUUGUUUUUGUUUUUUACUUUGUGCUUGUGCUUUUCUUCUUUCCGCUAGGGCAUUCAUCCGCUAUACUUCUCCGCGUCAGACGCCGCCCUCGCCUUCUUUUCGUGUUUUGGAAUGCAGUCACGGACAUCUGCAUGCCACACAUCUCCGCGCGCACGAGCGCGCGCACAUAUAAAAUGAUCCGCACGACUGCUGGCGUGCAGGCUUGCGGUGUACUCUUUUCUCUCCGCCUUUUCUCAGGUCUUCCCCUCUUCCCCUCUUCCUGUCUUGCCUUCGAUGCAUCUUUCUCUUUUUGGGCCUCUCGUUUUAACUUGCUCUCGUUGUCUUUAUAUUUGUUUCUCUCCCCGGCUACUCCCCCUCUCGCUCCCUUGCUCGCACGGCGUCGAUGUCCUGGUGCCGUGGUGUGGCAGGUGGCCACGCCUGUUCAUCGGCCUCAGCAAAUAGCUUCCUCGCCUAUCCCUAGUUUUCCCCAUCUCGCUAUCCACGGCAGAACCACCACCUCCCUCCCCCUUACCGAUGUCUGCGGCGGUGGAGAGGUGGUAAAAUGAGGGGCAAAAAGGCAGAACAACAAAUGCGUACGUGGCACAAGGAUGAUGAUGUGGUGGUGGGUCUCGCACCGCGAGUGCAGCGCUGCGUCUCUCUCUCUCUGAAGCUUUUUAACCGACUUUUUCCUGUCACUUUUACGUCUUGUACUCUCUCGUUGUGCACGCAG
This 2749-nucleotide unclassified non-coding RNA is filed under the name Leishmania donovani. RNAcentral's name for it is "gene:LdHU3.32.4810(CDS-product:3-hydroxyisobutyry l-coenzyme_a_hydrolase-like_protein)". The record is from RNAcentral. Lineage: Eukaryota; Euglenozoa; Kinetoplastea; Trypanosomatida; Trypanosomatidae.